This 1548-nucleotide long non-coding RNA is filed under the name Toxoplasma gondii VEG. The record is from RNAcentral. Lineage: Eukaryota; Apicomplexa; Conoidasida; Eucoccidiorida; Sarcocystidae.
UGGGAAUUCAGGAACGCGUGUAGCAACCUAAAUAACGCCUUUGAUUCUGUGGAAAAGGAGUCACCAGAUUGCGGCGUUUAUGAUGCACGGACAGCUACGCACUUUCUAUAAACUACGGGGGGAAACGAACAGAGAGGCGUGUCAAGCCACGGCCGCCACACGGCUCAACGAGCCAUUGCCUGGGGUCGCCUCUUUUCACGAGAAAGUGCCGCGGUAGAACACAGAACUGGACGAUUUCUUGGGUCACGUGAGAGACGAAAUAGAGGGACGAGGCUUGAGCAAGCAUGAGGAGAAGAGACCUGUUUUCGCUAGGGAGCUGGCAAGGAGAUGCAGAACCCGUGCAAACUAGGAAGUCACCACGAUCCACGGUGAGUGGGGAAGAUGCCACACAUGAGUGGGCGCGCCGACGAUGUCAGCCCUCGCUCUCAAGCUCACCUUGGAGUGCCCCCUUCCUGCAGCUGGCAAACUGUCGCUGGUUGAGAUAUACUAAAAAGCAUGGCGCCGAGCCGUCUCUCUGUUUCAAGACGUCGAGUGGGUCUUGGCAAGAAAGGGGCUCCCUCGUUGAUGUUCAUGGUUCUCGUUUCUACGCUGCGAAUAAGCUGGCACUGGAGCUGGGGCAAAAGGCGUGGUUUCACCCGAGCAAGACUCUUGAAAGGGGCGUUUCUUGGGUAGAAGCGCAGGUUUUCGUUCGCCCACCCGGUGAUGGAGCGGAAGCCAAGAGCCAGUGUUGACGGGAAGAGGCUCUCAGUUUUUUCCUGCGGCUCGGUGCCUCGUUCGUCAGUGUUAUUUAUUCAUAGGUCCUGACUGCCAGAAUGCCGAUCCGCUUUCAGUACGCUUGGUGAAGAGCAGCAGCACGCGGAAGUCAACCGUCCGAUGGUGGGCUGCGGCCAACUGGUAUGUGACCCCCGUGGUAGCUUUCCAUGAAGCAGUGAUUUUUUUCAAAUGCUUGCAUCAGACGUGACGAACUCUUGUAUUCCUUGCAACGUGUGCCCAAGAGAAGUUAAACUGCUUUGGUGAGCGGGACCGUGUUUUCCCUGCAGGACACGUGGUGCGCUAGAAACAGCAAGUGUCUUCCAAGGCUCAGUCCAAUUCAUUGAACUCAUAAAAAACGUAGACAGUCGCAGAAGACUUUGUUCCCGGUGCCGUCCUGUUUCCUGGGUGCUACCCUCGCAAACCCGUCCUGGUGAGCAGGACUAUUUGUCCCUGCAGGACAGAAAAUGAUUGGCGUCAACCUUGCUCCACAGAUUGGUUGAAGAAAAACAUGAGCGCUGUAGUGGAACAAGUUUUGCGACCGAAGUCUUUUUUGACAGUUCAGAGACGCCCAGGUGCCACGAAAGAGGCAUUCGAGUCUCACAGAUUGCAACCGAAGACGAAAACAAACUCAGUAAGGUACGCUGGUUGGAAUGUGACAACCUGAGAUCCCUUAGAUGAGACAAAACGGUCUCUGGCAACUGUGAAAAUUUUGUACUCGUGCACAGACGCAUCAGUCCUUGCCAAAGGCCGGAACUUCUGCUUGACACGCUUGCAGCAAAUAAACUCGCAUAUCAG